RNAcentral lists this unclassified non-coding RNA (216 nucleotides) under plant metagenome. RNAcentral's name for it is "partial contains small subunit ribosomal RNA, internal transcribed spacer 1, and 5.8S ribosomal RNA". The record is from RNAcentral.
UCUCCGUAGGUGAACCUGCGGAGGGAUCAUUACAAGUGACCCCGGUCUUACCACCGGGAUGUUCAUAACCCUUUGUUGUCCGACUCUGUUGCCUCCGGGGCGACCCUGCCUUCGGGCGGGGGCUCCGGGUGGACACUUCAAACUCUUGCGUAACUUUGCAGUCUGAGUAACUUAAUUAAUAAAUUAAAACUUUUAACAACGGAUCUCUUGGUUCUG